CCUACGGGAGGCAGCAGUGAGGAAUAUUGGUCAAUGGGAGAGAUCCUGAACCAGCCAAGCCGCGUGAGGGAAGACGGCCCUAUGGGUUGUAAACCUCUUUUGUCGGAGAACAAAACCCGGGACGUGUCCCGGACUGCGUGUAUCCGAAGAAAAAGCAUCGGCUAACUCCGUGCCAGCAGCCGCGGUAAUACGGAGGAUGCGAGCGUUAUCCGGAUUUAUUGGGUUUAAAGGGUGCGUAGGCGGUCCGUUAAGUCAGCGGUAAAAUUGCGGGGCUCAACCCCGUCGAGCCGUUGAAACUGGCAGACUUGAGUUGGCGAGAAGUACGCGGAAUGCGCGGUGUAGCGGUGAAAUGCAUAGAUAUCGCGCAGAACUCCGAUUGCGAAGGCAGCGUACCGGCGCCAGACUGACGCUGAGGCACGAAAGCGUGGGGAUCGAACAGGAUUAGAUACCCUGGUAGU
This 458-nucleotide ribosomal RNA is filed under the name Salmonella enterica subsp. enterica serovar Typhimurium. RNAcentral's name for it is "bacterial SSU rRNA". It matches the Rfam family "Bacterial small subunit ribosomal RNA", at positions 338 to 794 of the family's 1533-position model. Lineage: Bacteria; Pseudomonadati; Pseudomonadota; Gammaproteobacteria; Enterobacterales; Enterobacteriaceae. The record is from RNAcentral.